Molecule: non-coding RNA, 148 nt
Organism: Pan troglodytes (chimpanzee)
Lineage: Eukaryota; Metazoa; Chordata; Mammalia; Primates; Hominidae
Rfam family: Metazoan signal recognition particle RNA
About the family: The signal recognition particle (SRP) is a universally conserved ribonucleoprotein. It is involved in the co-translational targeting of proteins to membranes. The eukaryotic SRP consists of a 300-nucleotide 7S RNA and six proteins: SRPs 72, 68, 54, 19, 14, and 9.
Source: Rfam
GCUGGGUGUGGUGGUGCACGCCUGUAAUCCCAGCUACUGAGGAGGCUGAGGCAGGAGAAUUGCUUGAACCCAGGAGGCAGAGGUUGCAGUGAGCCAAGAUCAUGCUACUGCACUCCAGUCUGGGUGACAGAGCAAGACUCUGUCUCAA